UUUAAGGAAGGCUUGGUUUGGAUGAGGAAUCUGUGGGAGUCAGGUUGUUGGAGGGAAUUUAGGUACGUUUGGGUGCCUGUGAUUGACUGUUUCAAAGCGCAUAUUCUGGUCGCGUGACGCUCGUCAUGGGCCUGUGACGGCCGUCCCAGUCUGGGUCGUGACGAGCGUCAUGAAUCUGUGACGGUCGUCACAUCAACAAAUUCUGCAUAUUCUGUUUUCUGCUUUUUCCUGUGCUUUCUCAUCUGUUUCUUCUUCUUUUUC
RNAcentral lists this long non-coding RNA (261 nucleotides) under Lathyrus oleraceus (garden pea). RNAcentral describes it as "Pisum sativum (pea) long non-coding RNA (PSAT_LNC039335)". Lineage: Eukaryota; Viridiplantae; Streptophyta; Magnoliopsida; Fabales; Fabaceae. The record is from RNAcentral.